AUUAUAAAUUUAUAUAAAAUGAAAUGAUAUGGCCAUCAAUGAUCGGCAAUCAGGUGCAUAUGUAGUCAGGUAACAAACUUGCAUUGAUGCAUGCAUGAUAAAUCAAUGCAGCGGCGUCUUACGUGUUGUGCAUUAUUUAAUAGAUCCAAUAUCCAACAGGAACUAUUUUUAUUCUUUUCAUUAAAAUUUAAACACAUACUUAUCAUUUAUAAUAACUUAUUAUCAUUAUUAUUUUAUUUGUAUGUAUCCAAGGGAUGUAAGAUAUGCGUAGAAACAAUUGCGCAGAUUAAUUUGCAAUAUUUCGCGUGAUGUAUAACAUAAAAUCGAAAUAUAAUAAAACGACCGCGGUGUUAACGCUCGACAUCAGUUACGCGCCAACCGUAUUCAAGAAAUCAUGAGAUAACGUUUUUACGAAAUUUAACUUAUCGUAGUGACGUUAAUUCUGAUUUUUUGAAGUUUCUUUUAAAUGAUUAAUUACAUACUUUUUAUAUCGGCCGGCAAUAAUUCUCAGUAAAAACUAAUCAGCUCUAGUCUCUUUUAUUUUUUAUUGAUGAUUUCGCCGGGAGCGAUGAUCGUAAAAAUAAAAAAUUUUUUAUCUGUGAAACAUUAAAUUUUAAUUGAAAAUUUUAAACUUGAAGCGCUUGUUGUUAAAUUACAAAGUAAACAAGUGAAUCGCUUAAAAAGGAGUUUAGUGUUUUUUGUAAAUUUAAAAGUGCGCGGAUUUUAUUUCUGAUGUUUUUUUCUGGAAAAAAUUUUUAUUCAAGUGUUUGUCAUUUUAAUUAAUGUGAACAGUGUUUUUUAAAAUUUAUUUUAAAUUCAAUUAAUAGCAAUGACAACUACACUAGAGUCAUGGAACAACUCAUUAUUGACAUUGGAUUCAAAUUUAACAACAAUGAUAACUUUUACCGAUGUAACAACUCCGAAAAAACUUACUGCUGUUCAGCAAAUUAUUCUGACGCUAGUGUUUAUAUUUGGGAUAGUCGGCAAUAUUUCAGCUUUGAUUAUACUUUUUUAUAAAGAUAAGAGGAGAAAUCAUAAGCAUUUGUUGAUGCUGCGAUGCCUGGCCUUUAAUGAUCUGAUCGCUCUUCUGGGCCAAUUGGUUCAAAUGUACGUAGCGACUUACGCACCUUCAAUUGCAACCCAACAAUAUUUUUGCGCAUUAAGAAUACUUUGGCGUACUUUCGGGCUUUUUAGCGGCGGGGUUGCGAUUGUUAUGGCUGUUGAGAGAUGGCUAGCUUUGGCGCGUCCGUUUGUUUAUCAGAAGCACGUGACUUAUCCAAGGAUUGUACAUUUUAUGAUAAUAUUUUGGAUAGCUGCCUUAACAGUGACAAGUUUACCACUAUUUGGAUUUGGAUUAUAUUAUGAUAAUGGGCAGUGUGUUCGUUAUCGUGAGGCCAAAAUGCCAAUAGAUAUUGCCUAUGCGUAUCUAUCUUUUUCUUUUGGAACUUGUCUAUGCUUCUCUAUUGUUUGGUUUAAUUUAGCGGUGACUAAAGUAUUAGGUAAGUUUCGCCAGAAAAAUAAACUAUUAAGAAGAUGUUCACGUGCAGCCUCCCACAAUAAAGCAUUUUCACCUUCAAAAACUUUUUCGCUGGGAGAAGUUGGUUCUACUUGUGAAGAAAGAGCAUUUGCUAGAUUGAUGACUGUUCUUUCUACAUCAUUUGUAAUUUGCUGGAUGCCUCACAUGAUUACAAUACCUGUAGCUCAAUAUUACUUGAGUUUAAAAGAAACCACGACUGUAAUAAAAAAAAGUAUUAAAAUAUUUUUCCAAAUAGCCGAUGUACUACUUGGUGUCCAUUUUACCCUGGAUCCAUAUUUUUACGUACUGCUGCGUAUGCCGAAGAAUAAAUUUUCGCUAUUAAAACACUUGUGCAGAAUUUGUUGGCCGGCUCGAAGUCGUUCAAGCUCUUCGAGUGACCAUCAUGAUCACAGUGGUGAAGAUCCUCCGACUCCAAUUACUGAAGUACCACUUACUUCAAUUAUUGCAGAACAUCAAGAUUUAUUGCACUUAAAUACGCUUCCACUAAACUCAAAGUUAUUUGUCAUAAACGAAUGAUCAAGAUGCUACUGUCUAGUUAUUAUAAUUAAAUUAUUUAUUAAUAAGGACUGAGACAAAACGGAAACGUUGAAAAAUAUCAUUUUACUAAUUUAUGAUAUGAAACGCUUUAGUUAUUUUAAUUAAUGACUUAUUAUCGGCAAAUUGGCUCAUAUAAGGUACUGAUUAUUAAAUCAUCAUAAUUUUAACAAAAGAGAGUAAGACUAAGUAAGAAAUUUU
RNAcentral lists this unclassified non-coding RNA (2272 nucleotides) under Cotesia glomerata. RNAcentral's name for it is "prostaglandin E2 receptor EP2 subtype, transcript variant X3". The record is from RNAcentral. Lineage: Eukaryota; Metazoa; Arthropoda; Insecta; Hymenoptera; Braconidae.